RNAcentral lists this ribosomal RNA (497 nucleotides) under uncultured bacterium. RNAcentral describes it as "partial 16S ribosomal RNA". It matches the Rfam family "Bacterial small subunit ribosomal RNA", at positions 28 to 507 of the family's 1533-position model. The record is from RNAcentral.
GAUGAACGCUGGCGGCGUGCCUAAUACAUGCAAGUCGAGCGAACAGAUGAGGAGCUUGCUCCUCUGACGUUAGCGGCGGACGGGUGAGUAACACGUGGAUAACCUACCUAUAAGACUGGGAUAACUUCGGGAAACCGGAGCUAAUACCGGAUAAUAUAUUGAACCGCAUGGUUCAAUAGUGCAUGACGGUUUUGCUGUCACUUAUAGAUGGAUCCGCGCCGCAUUAGCUAGUUGGUAAGGUAACGGCUUACCAAGGCAACGAUGCGUAGCCGACCUGAGAGGGUGAUCGGCCACACUGGAACUGAGACACGGUCCAGACUCCUACGGGAGGCAGCAGUAGGGAAUCUUCCGCAAUGGGCGAAAGCCUGACGGAGCAACGCCGCGUGAGUGAUGAAGGUCUUCGGAUCGUAAAACUCUGUUAUUAGGGAAGAACAAAUGUGUAAGUAACUAUGCACGUCUUGACGGUACCUAAUCAGAAAGCCACGGCUAACUACGUG